RNAcentral lists this ribosomal RNA (253 nucleotides) under uncultured prokaryote. RNAcentral's name for it is "partial 16S ribosomal RNA". It matches the Rfam family "Bacterial small subunit ribosomal RNA", at positions 524 to 776 of the family's 1533-position model. The record is from RNAcentral.
UACAGAGGGUGCGAGCGUUGUUCGGAAUUAUUGGGCGUAAAGGGCGCGUAGGCGGUGCCACAAGUCACCUGUGAAAUCCCCGGGCUUAACUCGGGGCCUGCAGGCGAAACUGUGGUGCUGGAGUAUGGGAGAGGUGCGUGGAAUUCCCGGUGUAGCGGUGAAAUGCGUAGAUAUCCGGAGGAACACCAAAGGCGAAGGCAAUGUCCUGGCUAUUUCCUGACGCUCAGGGGCGAAAGCUAGGGGAGCGAACGGG